Molecule: long non-coding RNA, 1885 nt
Organism: Tyto alba (common barn owl)
Lineage: Eukaryota; Metazoa; Chordata; Aves; Strigiformes; Tytonidae
Exons: 2
Source: RefSeq, a predicted model, not a curated record
GCCAGGUUGGAUGGGGCUGGGAGCACCCUGGGCAGGUGGGAGGUGUCUCUGUCCAUGGCAGCGGGGUGAGAACUAGAUGGUCUUUAAGGUCCCUUCCAACCCAAACAAUUCUUUUAAUUCCUGUUUGUUCCCUGUUUAGAUUUAUUAUUCUUAUAAUGACUGACUAGAUUAUGAGGGUGGUUACCAUAACACUGAGAUGGUUUAGAGUUGAGAAAAUAAAGUUUCUAACAAAGUUAGUCAUCCACAUUCACAGGGAAUUAAGAAAUAGCAUGAGCAAUACUAGAAAAAAGAGGGUACAUAGCCAUAAAACUUUUAAAGGCACAACACAACGCUUUUAUUAGCAAGGAAGCUGGUUGUGGAAAGAAAAUAAAUACAACAAAGUGGUUUGGGGGGGUGUUACGUUUUUUGUUUGGUUUUGGUGGGUUUGGAUUUAUUUUUGCUAUUUUCCCCUAACUACAGUGAAAAUAUGCUAGCAAAAUCCCUGCCGUUCCCCUUGUAAGCCAAGGUCUGCUUCCUCAGGAAGGCUGAAGGCACUGAGCAGCUGCCGUUAGCGUGCAGUCCUGUCAGCUCAAGCAGCUCCCAACAACAAUCCAUAGCCCUAACCAGCUUUAAACAGAGUAUUUACACCACGCAUGAGGAAGAAGAUGAAGUACUUGACCUCAUGAGACAUGUCGCUGCAAAAUUUCCUUUCUACAGUGCAGUGCCAAGGCUGACUGUAUUUCUUCUCAAACUCCUGCGGAAGGGAUCACUAGGAUUUUAGUAGCAGCACAGCUCCUCCCCAAAAGUUGACCAGAGAUAUUUUUUUUUUCAUUAAUGUGUCUCUUCUUAACAAGCAUAACUUUUUGAAAAGGCAGUGAAGAAGUACUCAAAUGAGGAAACUUUCCAUGAGUGCAUGCAAACAUUUCUGAUCAGUUAUUACAACCCCAAAUUAUCUCCACACCACAACUUCUCAGAUUCCAAUUAGGAGCCACAAGGAAAAUCUGACAAGCUUGAACUCUGCUAUUCACUAACACAGAAUGUUGUUCUUACAAGUGAAAAAAAAAAAUAAAACCUUUUUAUACCUCUGUUAGGGUGACUGGAAAUGAAGACCUCCCCACAGAAGCAAUUGUACCAUUUAGUUGAAUAACUUUUCAAACAGGUCUUCCACUUAGAUUUGUGUAAUAUUUAACCUCCACUAGUACCCUUAGGUUUUGGGGUUUUUUAUUCUCCUGAGAUGGCAAAGUAGAAAGUAUAUCAGAACUAGAUCUUUUGCACAUCUGUUGUUCUUCAUGCAUAUAUAAAAAUAGGUAAUCUGUGGACAUCAGAUAAACAAUGCUCCAAGACUCAGGAUUUUAGCAUGGUUCAGAACAUAAAAGGAAGAUGUGAAUGCAGAUGAUGUGCAGAAAAAUACUUUUCCCUGCAAAUUCUGAACCAGCUAGCCAAUCUUCACAACUAUUACAGAACUGCAAACAGCACAUUAAGACUAAACUGAAAACGACUUCUUAAGUCAAGGACUAGGUAAAAAAAGGCAUGCCCUCUGAGGAAAGUUACAGCAGACUUCAAAGGGUUGCAUUUGCUACCAACUAAUCAUUCACACUGGGAAAGGCCAGCAAAUGCUAUGCUAUUCUGCUAGACAGUAAUGAUGAAAACAAUUAAAAAUAGAAGGUUUGGCAAAACAAAAACUAGAAUAGGUACAUUUGAACUAUGGGAAAAGGAACAGAGAUACACCAGCCCACAGGAAAAGUCCACUGUAUCCUGUGUUCAAAGAACUUGCUCUUCCAAAAAGUGUAGUAACACCCACCCUGCUCGACUUCUGGUGUGGAUAGUGUUCAACAAAACGAUAUUACAGUCAAACCUUUACCCUCUUUAUAAGGGCUGCAAUUGCUCUUUCAACAUUGUAUUUCUC